Molecule: ribosomal RNA, 396 nt
Filed under: uncultured bacterium
Lineage: Bacteria
Description: bacterial SSU rRNA
Rfam family: Bacterial small subunit ribosomal RNA
Source: RNAcentral
GACGAACGCUGGCGGCAUGCUUCAUACAUGCAAGUCGAACAGGUAGGCGGGUGCGGGGUAACCCAAUCCUGUCCGAAAGUGGCGAACGGGUGAGUAACACGUGAGCAACCUGCCCCGAAGCCCGGGAUAGCCCCUGGAAACGGGGAGUAAUACCGGAUGCCCUGCUUGAGUCGCAUGGCUCGAACAGGAAAGUUCAGGCGCUUCGGGAGGGACUCGCGGUCCAUCAGCUUGUUGGUGGGGAAAGGCCUACCAAGGCAGUGACGGAUAGCUGGCGUGAGAGCGUGACCAGCCACACUGGGACUGAGACACGGCCCAAACUCCUACGGGAGCAGCAGUAGGAAUCUUGCUCAAUGGGCGAAAGCCUGAAGCAGCAAUGCCGCGUGAGGGAUGAAUGCC